GUGACGAGCGGCGGACGGUAGUAAUGUCUGGAACUGCCUGAUGGAGGGGAUACUACUGAACGGUAGCUAUACGAUACGUCGCAGACAAGAGGGGACCUUCGGGCCUCUGCCAUCAAUGUGCCCAGAUGGGAUACUAUUAGGUGGGGUACGGUCACUAGCAAUCCUACUGGUCUGAAAGUGACACCACCUGGAACUGAAACACGGCCAAUCCUACGGAGCAAGGGGAAUAUUGCAAUGGGCGCAAGCCUGAUGCAAGCCAUGCCGGUGUAUGAAGAAGGCCUCUCGGGUUGUAAAGUACUUUCAGCGGGGAGGAAGGUGUCGUGGUAAUAACCACAAAAUUGACGUUACCCGCAAGAAAAAAGCACCGGGCUAACUCCGUGCCAGCAGCCGCGGUAACUACGGAAGGGUGCAAGCGUUAAUCCGGAAUUCACUUGGGCGUAAAAGCGCACAGCAGGCGGCUGUCAAAGUUCGGCAUGUGAAUCCCCGGGCUCAACCUGGGAAACUUGCAUUCGAAAAACUGGGCAGGCUAGAANUCUUGUAAAGGGGGGUACANAAACUNACCAGGGUGUCAACGGCGAACAUGCGUANAGNAUCCGGAGG
RNAcentral lists this ribosomal RNA (600 nucleotides) under uncultured bacterium. RNAcentral's name for it is "bacterial SSU rRNA". It matches the Rfam family "Bacterial small subunit ribosomal RNA", at positions 88 to 722 of the family's 1533-position model. The record is from RNAcentral.